AUUGAACGCUGGCGGCAGGCCUAACACAUGCAAGUCGAGCGGUAGAGAGAAGCUUGCUUCUCUUGAGAGCGGCGGACGGGUGAGUAAUGCCUAGGAAUCUGCCUGGUAGUGGGGGAUAACGUUCGGAAACGGACGCUAAUACCGCAUACGUCCUACGGGAGAAAGCAGGGGACCUUCGGGCCUUGCGCUAUCAGAUGAGCCUAGGUCGGAUUAGCUAGUUGGUGAGGUAAUGGCUCACCAAGGCGACGAUCCGUAACUGGUCUGAGAGGAUGAUCAGUCACACUGGAACUGAGACACGGUCCAGACUCCUACGGGAGGCAGCAGUGGGGAAUAUUGGACAAUGGGCGAAAGCCUGAUCCAGCCAUGCCGCGUGUGUGAAGAAGGUCUUCGGAUUGUAAAGCACUUUAAGUUGGGAGGAAGGGCAGUUACCUAAUACGUGAUUGUUUUGACGUUACCGACAGAAUAAGCACCGGCUAACUCUGUGCCAGCAGCCGCGGUAAUACAGAGGGUGCAAGCGUUAAUCGGAAUUACUGGGCGUAAAGCGCGCGUAGGUGGUUUGUUAAGUUGGAUGUGAAAUCCCCGGGCUCAACCUGGGAACUGCAUUCAAAACUGACUGACUAGAGUAUGGUAGAGGGUGGUGGAAUUUCCUGU
This 651-nucleotide ribosomal RNA is filed under the name uncultured Pseudomonas sp. RNAcentral's name for it is "bacterial SSU rRNA". It matches the Rfam family "Bacterial small subunit ribosomal RNA", at positions 28 to 674 of the family's 1533-position model. The record is from RNAcentral. Lineage: Bacteria; Pseudomonadati; Pseudomonadota; Gammaproteobacteria; Pseudomonadales; Pseudomonadaceae.